Arabidopsis thaliana (thale cress) is the source of this 117-nucleotide ribosomal RNA. NCBI's taxonomy places the organism in Eukaryota, Viridiplantae, Streptophyta, Magnoliopsida, Brassicales, Brassicaceae. The record is from Rfam.
ACAUUGACCUUUAGGUACUAAUGCACCGGAUCCCGUCAGAUAUCCGCAGUUAAGCGUGUUUGGGCGAGAGUAGUACUAGGAUGGCUGACCUCCCGGGAAGUCCUCGUGUUGCAUCUC